CCUACGGGAGGCUGCAGUGAGGAAUAUUGGUCAAUGGGCGCGAGCCUGAACCAGCCAAGUAGCGUGAAGGAUGACUGCCCUACGGGUUGUAAACUGCUUUUAUAAAGGAAUAAAGUGAGGCACGUGCGCAAUUUUGUCUGUACUUUAUGAAUAAGGAUCGGCUUACACCGUGCAAGCAGCAGCGGUAAUACGGAUGAUCCGAGCGUUAUCCGGAUUUAUUGGGUUUAGGGGGAGCGUAGAUGGGGUGGUAAGUCAGUGGUGAAAGUUUGCGGCUCAACCGUAAAAUGGCAAUUUGUACUGGCAGUCUUGAGUACAGUUGAGGUAAGCGGAAUUCGUGGUGUAGCGGUGAAAUGCUUAGAUAUCGCGAAGAACUCCGAUUGCGAAGGCAGCUUACUAAACUGCCACUGACAUUGAUGCUCGAAAGUGUGGGUAUCAAACAGGAUUAGAUACCCGAGUAGUC
This 460-nucleotide ribosomal RNA is filed under the name uncultured bacterium. RNAcentral's name for it is "partial 16S ribosomal RNA". It matches the Rfam family "Bacterial small subunit ribosomal RNA", at positions 338 to 795 of the family's 1533-position model. The record is from RNAcentral.